UAGUAAAAAGUGAAAACGUUCGAAGAGCUGAAGAAAAUGAUGGGACAUUGGAUGAUGAAAUAAAUGAGUUUAAGGGAUUGGUGCAAGAUACUUGCCAAGGACUCUAGAUCUUCCUACUCAAGGACAUGUAAACAAAUUAGGACCUCUCGGAUGUGCGUACUACUCGAGAGAACAUUAGAGUUUUAUAUAAUUAACUGAGGAGACGAGCUACAAGUUUUGGAGUACAUAGUUGUUAGUUCAUGAUAUAGGAGCCAUCAUUAGAUGUAUUCAUACUUAGUGAAUGAUUUUUAUUUAUGUUUUGAU
This is a long non-coding RNA of Olea europaea var. sylvestris, 303 nucleotides long. RefSeq lists it as uncharacterized. The record is from RefSeq and is a predicted model, not a curated record. Lineage: Eukaryota; Viridiplantae; Streptophyta; Magnoliopsida; Lamiales; Oleaceae. The transcript has 2 exons.